Molecule: long non-coding RNA, 829 nt
Organism: Conger conger (European conger)
Lineage: Eukaryota; Metazoa; Chordata; Actinopteri; Anguilliformes; Congridae
Exons: 3
Source: RefSeq, a predicted model, not a curated record
GAAGGACGAAGACAAUCCGGGCAUUGGCGUUCCGUGUGUUAAAGGGUGUGCGUGUGCAGUCACUGAAGUACGGAGGCAUUUUGUUGGGUUUAACGAGGAUCGUGUUGGUGUUAAGAGUGUUUGCCUAAUUGCUGCUGCCUGCGGGGGGGCGGAUGGCCUGGGAGCCGGCUUGUGAAUGAACCCUGCCACUCGUAGUUUUUGCCAUUUUGUUUGGACAGCUAGUCACUGUUUUCCCACAUAUGAAUCUCCGUAUCAAACGUUGGUGAUGUGAUACCAAUCAAAUCAGUUUCUACGUGGCAACAGGUAAAGAUUAUUUUCAGUGAUUGACUAUUAAAUCUUACAGCGCUAAAGCGCCCCAACCUUAUCUGGCCCAUUUUAACUGGUGGCUCAAUUCACCUGACUUCACCUUUUUCACUUAGCUUCACUGAAACUAAAGUGGACCCGCAUUUCAAUCUGAGUUCCAAUGUCUCUUUUUCAUUUCCCAGAACACAAAACCUGACGCACUUUAUGUACACCUUUAAGUCCCCUUUAAUGUAGCCUAAUUCGUAAAAUCCAAGAGUUGCAUCUACUCCAAACAAGAGGCUUUCCAUUAAUGAGCCGUGCAUACGGACAUAAUACGCAUUCAAGAUCACUCAGACACAGAUCUGAAGCUGAACUAGACGUACUACUGACUUUAAGACCUCGCGGUGAAUCAGACGUCGCUGACUGGCAACAGCCUUGGCUUUUCAUCAAGUGGUGGAAUGGGACGGUGUAGGGUGCAACUAUGAUAACAGCGAUACACUGUAGGCUAAUAUUGUGCAGUUAGGUUUACUACGCUCAGUUGUGUCAU